AUGAAUGUCACUGAGUUGAGGGAAUUUUGGGCCUCACGGGUUACUAUAGGAAAUUUUUCCCAAGGGUAUGGUAUCAUUGCUAAACCAUUGACACAAUUACUGAUGAAACAAGGUUUUGUUUGGUCUGUAGCUGCUCAACAAGCUUUUGGGACCCUCAAAAUAGUUAUUUCCACUACUCCAGCGUUAGCCUCACCUGAUUUUCAUCAGCCUUUUACUAUUGAGAAAGAUGCUUGUGCUAAUGGUAUUGGAGCUGUCCUUUCUCAAAAUGGUCGUGUAGUGGCUUUUGUUAGAAAAGUUCAAGGGAUGAAGAACACAACUAUCUAUAUAUGA
RNAcentral lists this ribosomal RNA (330 nucleotides) under Triticum aestivum (bread wheat). RNAcentral describes it as "partial small subunit ribosomal RNA". The record is from RNAcentral. Lineage: Eukaryota; Viridiplantae; Streptophyta; Magnoliopsida; Poales; Poaceae.